GCCCCCAUCGUCUAGUCCGGUCCAGGAUACGGGGUCCUCAUCCCCGAGACCCGGGUUCAAAUCCCGGUGGGGGCA
This is a transfer RNA of Candidatus Nanopusillus sp., 75 nucleotides long. It matches the Rfam family "tRNA". Rfam says of the family: Transfer RNA (tRNA) molecules are approximately 80 nucleotides in length. Their secondary structure includes four short double-helical elements and three loops (D, anti-codon, and T loops). Further hydrogen bonds mediate the characteristic L-shaped molecular structure. tRNAs have two regions of fundamental functional importance: the anti-codon, which is responsible for specific mRNA codon recognition, and the 3' end, to which the tRNAs corresponding amino acid is attached (by aminoacyl-tRNA synthetases). tRNAs cope with the degeneracy of the genetic code in two manners: having more than one tRNA (with a specific anti-codon) for a particular amino acid; and 'wobble' base-pairing, i.e. permitting non-standard base-pairing at the 3rd anti-codon position. The record is from Rfam. Lineage: Archaea; Nanobdellati; Nanobdellota; Candidatus Nanoarchaeia; Nanoarchaeales; Nanopusillaceae.